RNAcentral lists this ribosomal RNA (467 nucleotides) under uncultured bacterium. RNAcentral's name for it is "partial 16S ribosomal RNA". It matches the Rfam family "Bacterial small subunit ribosomal RNA", at positions 29 to 507 of the family's 1533-position model. The record is from RNAcentral.
ACGAACGCUGGCGGCGUGCUUAACCCAUGCCAGUCGAACGGAAAGGCCCUGCUUUUGUGGGGUGCUCGAGUGGCGAACGGGUUAGUAACACGUGAGUAACCUGCCCUUGACUUUUGGAUAACUUCAGGAAACUGGGGCUAAUACCGGAUAUGAGCUCCUUCUGCAUGGUGGGGGUUGGAAAGUUUCGGCGGUUGGGGAUGGACUCGCGGCUUAUCAGCUUGUUGGUGGGGUAGUGGCUUACCAAGGCUUUGACGGGUAGCCGGCCUGAGAGGGUGACCGGAGACAUGGGGACUGAGAUACGGCCCAGACUGCUACGGGAGGCAGCAGUGGGGAAUAUUGCACAAUGGGCGGAAGCCUGAUGCAGCAACGCGGCGUGCGGGAUGACGGCCUUCGGGUUGUAAACCGCUUUCGCCUGUGACGAAGCGUGAGUGACGGUAAUGGGUAAAGAAGCACCGGCUAACUACGUG